CCUACGGGUGGCAGCAGUAAGGAAUCUUGGUCAAUGGGCGCGAGCCUGAACCAGCCAAGUAGCGUGAAGGAAGACUGCCCUACGGGUUGUAAACUCCUUUUAUAAAGGAAUAAAGUGAGGCAAGUGUGCCUUUUUCUAUGUACUUUAUGUAUAAGGAACGGCACGCUCCGUGCCAGCAGCCGCGCGAAUACGGAGGAUCCGAGCGUUAUCCGGAUUUAUUGGGUUUAAAGUGAGCGUAGAUGGGUUGUUAAGUCAGUUGUGAAAGUUUGCGGCUCAACCGGAAAAUUUCAAUUGAUACUGGCAGCCUUGAGUACAGAUGAGGUGAGUGGAAUUCGAGGUGUAGCGGUGAAAUGCGUAGAUAUAAGGAGGAACUCCGAUGGCGAAGGCAGCCUUCUAGACUGCCACUGACAUUGAGGCUCGAAAGUGUGGGUAUCAAACAGGAUUAGAUACCCGUGUAGUC
Molecule: ribosomal RNA, 460 nt
Filed under: uncultured bacterium
Lineage: Bacteria
Description: partial 16S ribosomal RNA
Rfam family: Bacterial small subunit ribosomal RNA
Source: RNAcentral